Molecule: long non-coding RNA, 8177 nt
Filed under: Malus domestica (apple)
Lineage: Eukaryota; Viridiplantae; Streptophyta; Magnoliopsida; Rosales; Rosaceae
Description: long non-coding RNA (MDOM_LNC017155)
Source: RNAcentral
UUUGAUAAAAUGUGAAGCAUUUAUCCUUCACACAUUCAUAACAAACGAAACAUGUAACAUACGUUUCAUUUGCUUAAUUCUGCCGACAAUUCUCAUGCAAAUGCUACAAGUUUUAUAAAAUUCUAUACAUCUCGUCAAAUAGAGAAAAAAAACACACCACACAAGGGAAAAAAACGAAGAAAACCCACUUGGUUGGAUUCGACACAUGCAACAUAUAGCCACAACAAGUGUGACCACUACCGAAACUCGAUCUGGUUAUUUUGGGUGACCAAGUGGUUCUUCUGCAUCAAAAGGAGGGAAGUCCUUGCUAAUCUGCUUGCAUCAUGUAACAGCGGGAAAUCAGUGGCGCAAUUGCACUCUCAAACCCUCAAAGCCGGCCUUUUCCAAUACGGCUUCUUUUCCACAAAACUCAACGCUCUGUACGCAAAGUAUGAGUCCCUCGUCAUGCCCGCAAGGUGUUCGACGAAACGCCCCACAGAACUGUCUAUCUCUGGAACGCCACCCUUAGGAGCUCCUGUAGAGAGAAUUGAUGGGAAGAGACCUUGUGUCUAUUUCGUAACAUGAUACCCGAGUCAAGAGGCAAUGAUGAAAAGCCUGAUAAUUUCACCAUUCUCAUUGCUCUGAAGGCGUGUGCGAGGUGAAGGGCACUGGUGUGUGGAAAAAUAAUACAGGGUUUGUGAAGAAACAUGAGAAGGUAGCAUUGAAUAUGUUUGUGGGUUCUGCGGUGAUUAAAUUGUAUUCCAAAUGUAGAGAAAUGGGCGAGGCUGUGAAAGUGUUUGAUAAGUUUCCUCAACCGGAUGUGUUUUUAUGUACUUCUAUGGUUACUGGAUAUGAGCAUAAUGGUGAUCUUGAACAAGCACUGGAGUUUUUUCUCCCGAAUUGUGAUGUUGGGGCUCAUUAAUCCUGACCGAGUGACGCUUGUUAGUGCUGUUUCAGCUUGUGCACGGUUAUCAAAUUUUAGAAUUGGAAGUUGUGAGCAUGGUGUUUCUAUUAGGAACGGAUUCGACUCUGAUUUAUCUUUAGGUAAUGCGUUGCUAAAUCUCUAUGCAAAGACGGGUUUGGUCAAAACUGCCACUAGGUUGUUCACAAAGAUGCCGGAAAAAGAUGUGGCUUCUUGGAGCUCCAUGAUUGCCUGUUACGCUCAUGAUGGGGAUGUAACAUAAGCGUUAAAUCUUUUCAACGAAAUGAUUGAUAUGAGAAUUAAACCUAAUUCAGUGACUCUGGUAAGUGCGUUGCAAGCAUGUGCACUGAUGAGUGCAUAUUUUACCAUUUAUUUUAGCCCAAAAGCUACAUUUUCUUGUGACAUUUUAGACUUAAAUGAAAGGAAUAACAUGGUUUUGUGUUUUUAUAAUUAAAUUAAUGAGUUGCAGAAAAAUCAUGUUAUAAUUCCAUGGUUUUAAUUUAAUCAUGUGAUCUUAUUCUAAUUUAAAUUUCUAUGCCUACGGCCUUUGAUUGAAGUAUGUAGGCUAUUUGGUUUCAGAAUAUACAAUUGGCUUAAAUUGACUAAUCUUGUAAUUUAAUUGCAGGUCACGAAUGAGUAUUAAGUUUGGUGAGUUAUGGGGAAGAAAAGAAAAACACAACAACAAAAUGAAUCAAAUAAAAUGAGGGCAAAAUGAGGGCAACAAGGGGAGUGGACGAAAGGUGAAAGGGGAAAUUAGUUUCUUUGAAAUGGGGUGGGGGGAGACCGAGAGAGGAAUAAACACGACACACACUUGCAUGUAAAUUUCUCUAAUGUCAUUAAUGAAUCAAAUAAAAAAUUAUUAAUUUAUUUGAUAAGAAAAUAAGCUACUUAUAUGUUUAAUUAAGAACUCGUUUGGCAUUGCUUCGCUAAAAACGCUUCAGCUAAAAGUGCUUUUAUUAUAUCCACAUUGAAACUCUUAUUAAAAAUUCAAGUGCUUUCUAAAAAAGACACUUUGGAAUGCUUUCUUUCAUUUCCCAAUUGUUUCUUCUUCAUCGUCAAAGCUUUCGAUAUUGAGAUCAGAUAACCUCAAAUCUUUUGCAAGGUUGGACCUCAUCAGAUGAGUAAUCGCUUAACUCUUUAUCGUCGUCAGAGGCCUCCUCAUCAGACUCAUAUGGUGCAGUCUGAUAGUCCUCUUCCUCAUCAGACUCAUAUGGUGCAGUCUGAUAGUCCUCUUCCUCAUCAGUAUCUUCAUCAGACUCGUAUGGCACACGAUCAUAGUCCACAUAUUUCCAAUCUGAAUCUGCAAAUUCCCAUUCUACGAUAUCCACUCCUGUUUUCUUCACCUUAAUUUGUUGAUCAUCCUCUGUUUCAAUAAAGUCUGCAUGCACACGAACCUUGUCGCCACCUUUCAGAUUGAGCUUCUUGUUCGUAAGAUUUCCCAGCCAAAGAUAACAUUCAUGGGAAGCAGUUACGGUGGUCACCAAUGGCCAAAUGUGAAAACGAGUUCGCUGGGUACGAUUAACAACAUGAAUGCAUAAGGACCCAGUACAGUCUGAGUUGUCCGAAGAAUAAAUGAUGCACACAACCAACCCUCCUAUAUAAUCAAAAGUAAGCGGCAUUUCAAUUUCGACAGUUUCAUCCUGUCGCGCUACAUAGGGUAACCGGCGAGGAAUAUCAUUUACAGAGAGAGAAAGUCCACCAAUUGUAUACCCCUUCCAUUUCUACAACACGAGGUGCAAAGUUAGUAUAACCAACAAUACGAAAAUCAGAGAGGGAGAGCGAAAGUUCCAUACCAAUAGGAUGUUCUCCUUAAAAGUAGCAGUGAGACUGGUGCACCCUUCCAUAUAAAGGGUAUGCAUGUUGCAGAUGAAGUUAUCCAGGUUUGGAAUAUCUUUGAGUUUGCGGCAGUCUUUCAGUUGCAAUUCAAUCAUUUCCGACAUCUCUGGAAGGUCGGGCAUAAUUUCCAGUUCCGUGCAGUAACUCGCUUCCAGAUUAAGCAAACUUGUUGGCAAAUCUGGGAUUGCCUGAAGGUUUGUGCAAUGAUUUAGAUACAAAGAUGUAAGCUGGGAAAGGCCACUGAGGAUGGGUAGCCUAUUAAAACCAUUUCCAUCUAGUACUAAAAUCCUUAAAGAAGAUAGACUCCGAAGGCUUUCAAGAACGGCAUCAUCCGUUAUAUUGCAGUCAUCAAGACCUAAAUGCUGAAGCAUCUUCAGUUGUGCUAAUAAAUGGUAACCCCCAGACACACUCUUACAGCCACUGAGGGCCAAUUCCUCGAGAUGUGGGAGUUUUGAAAAGUCUGGUAAUUGAGUCAGGUUACAGGAAUGAUCGAGAUAAAGAAACUUCAACUUCUUCGGCAACUGUUUGGCAAAAAGAUAGAACAAAAAUCAUAAUCCAUAUUAGAGAGAGAGAGAGAGAGAGAGAGAGAGAGAGAGAGAGAGAGAGAGCUAGAAUGAUUGUCGACUGAUGUUGGUAUUUACAAAACACGGACGAGGAAAGGAUUAAUAAUUUGGUUGAGGUUAUGACAAUUAUAUGUAUUGUACCAGAUCGGAAUCCUCCCAAACUCGGACAAGCUUGCUGUAGCUCAACUCAAUAAGAACUAAGUUUCGUAAAUCAAAAUCUUCGGGUAUGACCUCUAGAGGAAAUCCAUGCCAACACAAAGAUCUUAACUCCUUGGAAAGAUGACGGUAGCCUCCAGUGAGCUUUACAUUUUCGAGUUGGAGAAAUUUCAGAUGCCGCAUCUUCUUAAAUGCUUUUGUGCGGAAGGGAUGCUCGUCAGAAUUUUCUGGCAACGCUAAAGUUAGCCCUCUAAUUGCUUCCGUUCCCUGUUGGGGGAAAACAAAAACAAAUCUAAUUCAAGCAGAGCCAUGACUAUCUAUGAACGAACUACAAAUGCAGCGCAUACAAUGCAUUAGAUGUGGGAUAUGCAUAUGCUUCUGUUUAUUCACAUACAUUCAACAUAACAUUUUUAUUGGGAUUUGGGAAAGCACUUACAGAUUCGUCUCUUAACACGCUUGUUACGUCUUCAUGAUGCCAUAAUCGACUACGUUUUCCAGGUUCCAUAGCACAUUCUGCCCUCACAAUUUCUCUUCCCAUGUCUCGAAUCAAAUCAUGCAUCCUAAUGAAUCCUCCUGAAUCAAAAUCUAGAAGACAUCGAUCUUGAAUGGUUUUGAAUUCUGAUUCUACAGAAAAGCGACUGCAACUAUCCAAUAUUGCCACGACUUCAGUUCCAACCCAGUUAAUAAAGAAAUGAGAUAUGUCAAGGAACACACCUUUCACAUGAUCAUCACUUAGCCCAUCAUAGCUUAAUCUAAGUGUUUCAUGAAUUUUUCCAUGUGGAAGAUUUCUCAAUUUAUCCAAUGUACUUCUCCAUAUGCUUUUACUCUUUUUCAUAGCCAACAAACGGCCAAUGGCUUUAAGAGCUAGCGGCAAUCCUCCACAAUAAUCAACAACAUCUGUUGCGAGUUCAAUAUAUUCUUUAUCAGGACAAUGAUUUCCAAACGCAUGCCAACUAAGGAGCUUAAGAGCUUCUUCAUCCGUCAUUGUUUGUGCCUUAUAUUUUUUAUCCACCUUCUGUAUAUUCAGCACUUGUUCAUCUCUUGUUAUCAAAAUAAUCCUACUUCCUGGACCAAACGAGUGAUGUUCUAUCGCCAAUUCAUCUAAUUGGUCCGCAUCAUCUAUGUCAUCAACUACGAUGAGUACCUUCAUGCUUCCAAGUCUUUUCUCUAUUUCCUUGGUCCCUUCGGCAACACUACUUAUUUUAAUGUCAGGCCGUUUCAAAAUAUCUCGAAGAAGUUGUUCUUGCAGACUAACCAUAUUUUUCUUUUUACUCCUCACCUCUUCAAGGUAACAUUGACCACGGAAACUAUGAUGGUAUGUGCUAUAAAUGGCUCUCGCAAGCGUUGUUUUACCUAUGCCGCCCAUACCCCAAAUUCCAAUUAUUUGAACAUCAUGUGAACCUCCAACAUCUAAGUAUUUAGUACUGAAUUCUUCCACGCGAAAAGCUAUUCCAACUGAGUGCUUGGCUUCUUUUAAGUCGCUGGUUUUUAGUAGUCCGAUGAUGUCACCAACAACUUUAUGGAUAAAUACUCCUUCACGCCUGCCAAUUGGAAAUCCAAAUUAUGCAAACAGAUGACUAAUCAUGCAACAGCAUGAUUCAUAUGAACUAAAUGCCUUAUGCAUCACGACAUGGCUGAUUAGUGAGUAUCCCAAAAGCUAAUUGUACAAGAUGCGAUUAAAUUUUGUAAAAGAGGAAAUUUGAAAUGAUACCUGUCUGCAGUGGUUUUAAGAUCCUGGCCAACCAAAUCUGCAGAAGCCUUAAGAUCCUUUCUCCACUGCUCGACCUCAUUUGGGUCUUCAUCCCUUUCAUGCUUCUGAAAUGCUUCCCCAAAACUACCACUCUGUUUCCUCACUUCAGAAGGGUCAACGUCGUAGAAUAUUGGAUAGACUACUUUCCCCUCUUGAACUUCUCGGCACCUCAUGAUCAUCGACAGCUCCCUCAGGCAAUAUCGGGACUCCGCGUAACUCUUUGAGAAGACGACGACCGCGAUCCUCGACCCUUCGAUUUCUCGGUCAAGUUCUCUUUGUAUAUUCUCCCCCUUUUUGAGGUCGUAGUCUAUAAACGUGUUGAUUCCGGCACUGCUUAACGCAAGGGAGAGGUGGUCUGUGAACCCAGUGCGUGUGUCCUCGCCUCUAAAGCUCAGGAACACCUCGUACUUCCAGCGGUUUGAACGCCGAGAGGAAGACGAACCGGCGGCAGCGGCGGUUGCAAGGGCGAGGCUGCUGGUAUUCAUUGAUUUCAAGCAAAGAAGUGAAACCCCUGAUCGUUUCCCAAGAUUCCCCAGCGAAACUCCUGAUUAUUGUUUUGGAUCGCUGGAAGAUGUGAGAGCAAAAAAUAAUGAAGAAAGAAGAGGGAGAGAAGAUUCCAGAUGCGGCUGAGUAAGAAUGAAACUUUGGGCUUGAAAUUUGCUAUGGUUUGUAGUAAGAAGGCUUUUCUUAACAUGGGCUUCAAAUUUGGGCUUGAAAUUGGCUAAGAAAAUAAAUACCUAUCAUAAAUAAAUAAAUAAAAUUAAUACAUAUAUUCGGUUCGAUUUCAUCAUCAUUGAAACCGAAACCAAACCACAUGAUUUCGGUUUGGUUUUUUUUUUUCGGUUUGUUAUUUAAGUUUAUGUUCGGUGUAUCGUUCAGGUUUAUUUUUUUCGAUUUUUUGAACCCACCUUUAGUACAUGACCUUAUUCUAUUUUAAAGGUGGUGCACAGGUUGGUUUUGAUGUUGGUGGCCGUCAUGGGUUUAUGAACAAACAUGACAAGGUUGAAUUGGACAUGGCUCAUGUUUGUGGGUUUUGCAUUGAUUGAAUUGUAUUUUAAAUGUGAGCCAAAGUUUGGGGAUCAAUGCUCCAAUUAGGACAAAGUCUAAGGACUAAUUCAAACGUUAACAAAACAUAAUAAUAGUAAUAUGUCACUUAUGCGAUAUGUUAACAUUAAAAUCUGAUCAUAAUGAUUCACAAGUAACGAAUUUAUAGUCACGUGACGUUUUAAUAUUGUAUGUAUAAUUUGUUGUGAGACGUCACACGAGGAAGACCCCUUCAGUAUAAGAGCUUUGCAAAGGAAAAGGAUUCUCACCGGAUCUUUUUUUUGAGGAUCCUAGGGAUUCCGUGAUCGUGAUCGUUCAUCGUACAUCGUACAUCGUGCGAUCAGAAAUCAUUUCAAAAUUUAAAAUUUAAAACUAAAUAUAAAUAAUAUCUACCAAAAAUUGAUCGUACCAUGAACAGGAUGCUUAGGAUUUCCAGAAAAAAAGAUCCGGCCUUUGCAAAACCUUUAGCAUAGAAUGGAAAAAUGACCAACCAAUGUCGGAGAUGAUUUGUUGGAACUAAAUACACUAUAAAAUAGUUAAAGGUAGUACGCUAGUGCAUGCUACUGCUUUUUACAAAAUGGGCGGUGGAUAGAGAAUGAGAGCCUGGGGACCCUAAUGAGCUUGACCACUGGUUUGUUAGAUGGCUGAGAAUCAACAUCUCUUUUUCUGUGACUUGAAGCACAAUUAGGUUUGAUAUAAGUUAAUGCAAGAAAUAUGGGAAAUUCAAAAGAUUCUUACUAUAUCAAAGAAAUAACAUAUCAGUCAUGAGUUGAACGUUAUUUUAUAUUAGUCACUGAAGGAUUAGUUAUUUUAUAUUAGUCACUGAAGGAUUAGCCAUCGUCAUCGUUAAUGACAUCGUCAAACACGUAUGGUAAUAGUAUGAUCAUCAGACUCUAUAUAGUACACACUCAUAAUGCACCUUAUUCACACCUAAACGAAAAAAUUAUAGGAAAACAAAAAUUGGUAGAAAGUGAGAGAAUUAGUGCAUAGAGAGAAUUAAUGAAAAAAGAAAAGAGUGGUGUUUUCGGAGAAUGAUUAUAUGUUCUCUCUGUUCACAUAACUGUGAAUUAUACAUUUUAAGUGAUUUAUGUAUUUGCUAAAUGGUUUAAAUUCAUCGUACUCUUUUUAUCUCCUCAAGUGAAACAAAACAAAGAUAGACUCGUAAUUCAUAAAAUUGGAAUCUUAAUUUGAUAAAAUGUGGAGCAUUUGUCCUUUACAUAUUCAUAACAAACGAAGCAUGUAACAUGUGUUUCACUUGCUUAAUUUAACGGAAGUUCUCAUGUAAAUGCUAUGCAUUUUAUAAAACGAAGCAUGUACCAUAAUUGACUUUUUAAUAUAAAAAUACAAUUUUUCGUAAAGAUAAACAGUGUCAGAAACUUUUCAUUAAAAUUCCUGUAUAAAAUUCUGAUACAAUUCUAUACAUCUCGUCAAAGAGAGAUAAAAACACGCCACACAAGUGGAAAACACGAAGAAAACCGACUUGAUUGGAUUCGACACAGCCAACUUACAGCCACAAGUGUGACUACCAACGAAACCCGAUCUGGUUUUAUGAGAUUGUGAGAUUCUUUUGGGGUAACCAAGUGAGUCUUCUGCAUGAAAAGGAGGGAAGUCCUUGCUAAUCUGCUUGCAUCAUGUAACAGCGCGAAAUCAGUGGCGCAAUUGCACUCUCAAACCCUCAAAGCCGGCCUUUCCCAGGACAGCUUCUUUGCCACAAAACUCAACGCUCUGUACGCAAAAUAUGAGUCCCUCGGUCAUGCCCGCAAGGUGUUCGACGAAACGCUCCACAGAACUGUCUAUCUCUGGAAUGCCAUGCUCAGGAGCUACUGUAGAGAGGACCGAUGGGAGGAGACCUUGUGUCUAUUUCGUAGCAUGAUGUCUGAGUCAAGAGGUAAUGAUGAAAAGCCUGAUAAUUUCACCAUUCCCAUUG